Molecule: transfer RNA, 77 nt
Filed under: Ancylobacter oerskovii
Lineage: Bacteria; Pseudomonadati; Pseudomonadota; Alphaproteobacteria; Hyphomicrobiales; Xanthobacteraceae
Also listed under: 8 other names
Description: tRNA-Arg
Rfam family: tRNA
About the family: Transfer RNA (tRNA) molecules are approximately 80 nucleotides in length. Their secondary structure includes four short double-helical elements and three loops (D, anti-codon, and T loops). Further hydrogen bonds mediate the characteristic L-shaped molecular structure. tRNAs have two regions of fundamental functional importance: the anti-codon, which is responsible for specific mRNA codon recognition, and the 3' end, to which the tRNAs corresponding amino acid is attached (by aminoacyl-tRNA synthetases). tRNAs cope with the degeneracy of the genetic code in two manners: having more than one tRNA (with a specific anti-codon) for a particular amino acid; and 'wobble' base-pairing, i.e. permitting non-standard base-pairing at the 3rd anti-codon position.
Source: RNAcentral
GGCCCCGUAGCUCAGCUGGAUAGAGCAGCCGCCUUCUAAGCGGCAGGUCCCUGGUUCGAGCCCAGGCGGGGUCGCCA